GAUGAACGCUGGCGGCGUGCCUAAUACAUGCAAGUCGAGCGAACGGACGAGAAGCUUGCUUCUCUGAUGUUAGCGGCGGACGGGUGGGUAACACGUGGAUAACCUACCUAUAAGACUGGGAUAACUUCGGGAAACCGGAGCUAAUACCGGAUAAUAUUUUGAACCGCAUGGUUCAAAAGUGAAAGACGGUCUUGCUGUCACUUAUAGAUGGAUCCGCGCUGCAUUAGCUAGUUGGUAAGGUAACGGCUUACCAAGGCAACGAUGCAUAGCCGACCUGAGAGGGUGAUCGGCCACACUGGAACUGAGACACGGUCCAGACUCCUACGGGAGGCAGCAGUAGGGAAUCUUCCGCAAUGGGCGAAAGCCUGACGGAGCAACGCCGCGUGAGUGAUGAAGGUCUUCGGAUCGUAAAACUCUGUUAUUAGGGAAGAACAUAUGUGUAAGUAACUGUGCACAUCUUGACGGUACCUAAUCAGAAAGCCACGGCUAACUACGUGCCAGCAGCCGCGGUAAUACGUAGGUGGCAAGCGUUAUCCGGAAUUAUUGGGCGUAAAGCGCGCGUAGGCGGUUUUUUAGUCUGAUGUGAAAGCCCACGGCUCAACCGUGGAGGGUCAUUGGAAACUGGAAAACUUGAGUGCAGAAGAGGAAAGUGGAAUUCCAUGUGUAGCGGUGAAAUGCGCAGAGAUAUGGAGGAACACCAGUGGCGAAGGCGACUUUCUGGUCUGUAACUGACGCUGAUGUGCGAAAGCGUGGGGAUCAAACAGGAUUAGAUACCCCGGUAGUCCACGCCGUAAACGAUGAGUGCUAAGUGUUAGGGGGUUUCCGCCCCUUAGUGCUGCAGCUAACGCAUUAAGCACUCCGCCUGGGGAGUACGACCGCAAGGUUGAAACUCAAAGGAAUUGACGGGGACCCGCACAAGCGGUGGAGCAUGUGGUUUAAUUCGAAGCAACGCGAAGAACCUUACCAAAUCUUGACAUCCUUUGACCACUCUAGAGAUAGAGUUUUCCCCUUCGGGGGACAAAGUGACAGGUGGUGCAUGGUUGUCGUCAGCUCGUGUCGUGAGAUGUUGGGUUAAGUCCCGCAACGAGCGCAACCCUUAAGCUUAGUUGCCAUCAUUAAGUUGGGCACUCUAAGUUGACUGCCGGUGACAAACCGGAGGAAGGUGGGGAUGACGUCAAAUCCUCAUGCCCCUUAUGAUUUGGGCUACACACGUGCUACAAUGGACAAUACAAAGGGCAGCGAAACCGUGAGGUCAAGCAAAUCCCAUAAAGUUGUUCUCAGUUCGGAUUGUAGUCUGCAACUCGACUACAUGAAGCUGGAAUCGCUAGUAAUCGUAGAUCAGCAUGCUACGGUGAAUACGUUCCCGGGUCU
This 1371-nucleotide ribosomal RNA is filed under the name uncultured bacterium. RNAcentral describes it as "bacterial SSU rRNA". It matches the Rfam family "Bacterial small subunit ribosomal RNA", at positions 28 to 1381 of the family's 1533-position model. The record is from RNAcentral.